This 15031-nucleotide long non-coding RNA is filed under the name Solanum tuberosum (potato). RNAcentral describes it as "long non-coding RNA (STUB_LNC011416)". Lineage: Eukaryota; Viridiplantae; Streptophyta; Magnoliopsida; Solanales; Solanaceae. The record is from RNAcentral.
UCUAAUCACACAACUACUCAUUAAUCAUUACUUCCAUCAAUAUUUAUGCCAUAUUACUAACUAAAAUUGUUAAAUUACAUAGGACAAGAGUGCAAAUUACAGGUAACAAAAGCAAAAUAAGGGAGGACAAAAAACCUAUGAUAUAUAGCAAGGUACUUAAUACUUAUAAUCCAAAUCCUUUUCUGCUUACAUUGCAUGUUCCACGGAGAACUGGAGAAGGAAGUGCCUCGAAAGCCCCACCAUUUGGUUAUCAAAAUUAUACUGCAGCCCCCUGUCGUGCAAUAAAAGGAUACAAGACAUUUGGUCCCCUCCCAGAUGUAAUGAUUUGUAUUCUUGCAGGGUUUACUACAUACACAUUCAUAUAUCCAGUUGCUCAAGGUUGAUCAUGCUCGCUGAAUGUUGUAUAAGUUGCUUCCUAACAUCCACCUGUAAUUGGCAUAAUGGAGAUGAGCAAUAAAAUCAAGUCAUUAGCAAAAGAGUGGAAAGAGAUGGACAGCCACCAGUCCACCAUAAUUAUCAUAUCAUAUCAUCAUAUAUUAUUAUAAGUGGAAGCUCCUAACCUCAAACACCAAAAAUAAAUUAAAUACUAAUAUCUAUUUAAUUAGUUAAAUAUUUAGUAGUUAUAUUUAAAUUCAUGCAUUAAACAAGAUCUAAAUGCAAUCUUAUAUUCAUGUACUAAAUAAAUGUGGGUAAUGAAGAGUCUAAUAACCUUCAAUUUUAAUUGGUAAGAUAAGUGGGGGUGAGGAAGAAUCUAUCAAAGACACUCACACAACAUUAUUUAAAUUCCCUUCUUUCAUCCAAAUUGUGAUCAUCUUGCAUUCUACAUUAGGUUAGUCUACAUCAUUUGUUCAUAUGAUAUAUUAUUUAUAUUUAUAUAUAUCUAUAUCUAUAUCUAUAUUUUAAUUUUAUUUAUUUAAUUACCUUAAAAGCAUGAACUCCUAACUUGAAUGUUAAAUUACUAUAAUAUCCCUAACUUAGGUUGUGACUUUUUCGAUGACUUGUGACUUUUCCGAUUAGUUGUGACUUUUUUCAAAGGGUUGUGAUUUUUCGAUGAGUUGUGACUUUUCCAAAGAGUUGUGACUUUUUCAAAAAGUUGUGUCUUUUCCAAAGUGUUGUGACUUCUCGGAAAGGUCAUGAUUUUUCUGAUAAGACACAAAAAACAUUUGUUCAUACUACACUUUGUUGACUAUAAAUAGAGGGACUUCCUUUCAUUUUUCAACCACUUUUUUUUUCUAAUCUUCUAAUCAUCUUCUUCUUGCAUUUUAAAAUUUUUUGUGUGAUUUAUUCUCGUUGAGUGAGUUCGAAGUUUAGUAGAAUAUGAGAUACCACUAUUCUGAUGAAGUAAGUCGUUCUAUCCUAAGAAGGUAUAUUUCAUAACCUCGAGUACUUGAGGAAAAUAAUAUAAUUUUUAUGAUAUAUUAAUUAUUUAUUUGCUUAAUAAAUACAUUAGUAUGUAAUGUUCCAAUAUAUGAAGUUAACAUAAUGUAGUCUAAAUUCAUUUGUUUUUUGUUAACAACUUAUCUUGUGAUGUAGAUAUAUGCUUCUGAAUAUCUUUUUCCAAAAUUUUAGAGAAUUGUCACGAUUUGUUUUUGAUACUCAAGACAAAAGAAUGACUUUAGCUAUCAAUGCUACUUAUGUGAUUUAGGCUCUCAUGAAGUUUUCUUCAAAAUAGUUAUUACUAUAUAAACAUUGUACUUUUGUUUUACUUAUUUACUAUUUCUUAAUAAUUCAGUAUUUUAGACGAAGAAAAGUUUAUAUGACUUGUAAUAACGCCAGUUGAAGUUUGUAUUAGUUUAAUUUUUAUUAUUUAUUUAAUAGCUAAUUUUAUGAGAUGAAUAUUUUUAUUAAUGCAAAUAUAUAUUUAUUAGUUCACUUGCUUGCAUACAGUCCCCUGGCAAUUGUAAACACAUACUUUACACCACUAAUCAACUUUGAUUCUUCCCCGUGAAGCAUUACUUAUACAACCUAUUAUUGGUUCACCUUCUCACAUACAGUCCCCUGGCAAUUUUAAACACAUACUUUACAUAUAUAUGUUACUCUAACCUUAGUUUAGCCGCACUUUACAUCUUAAUGAUACCCUCUUUUAUGCAUCAAAUUCCUACCUAAUCAUGCAGAUUUCGACCAUUUGCCGCCCUCUUCAAUGGUACUAAUACACAAUAAUGCCUAGAAUUAACAUUGUUGCCCAAUGGUAGUCAUCAAGAUCCAGCCCACAUGACGACUGAAAUUGAACUAGCAAAAUGGAAUGUACUGAUAAACAAUAUACAAAAACAGUCUGUUAAUUCAGUGAUGAGAGUCUUAGUAAUUUGAAGGGGUUCAAUAAUACCUUACAAGAAUUCAAGGCAUGAAGGGACUUUCAGAACAAUAAUAUUAUUAACAAAGAGGUAAUAACAUUGACAUUUUUACUUACCUUAUUAUUUUAUAGUUCAUGUUUAUUGUACUUAUACCCCCACCCCUUUGCACAAUACUAGGUACAAAAAUUCAAGCAACACUAUUUAAUAAACAUAUCGAAACAUGGAAGGACACAUUAAAACCAAAUAAGAGUUACUACAUUGCUAAAGGACGCUUAGAUCGCGUCAACCCCAACUACUAUUCCGUACAUAAAGAAGUUGAAUUGGCAUUUACAAAUAACACAAUCAUAAAGGCAACUGACACUGAGGGUUCAACACACAUAUUCUCUGUUGGCUUUGUAUCAUUGGAUCAUGUCAAUAAAUUACCUAAUGGUGCUAUUCUAGGUAACUAUCCACCCAAAUAAUUUGUUAUUUAAUUUCAUGCUCCAUUACGUAAUCACUAUCACUAAUUUACAUUACCUAUUCUAAGAUUUGAUUUGCGUUUUAGUUUCAAUGAAUUCCCUCAUUGAAAAAGAAUAUAGCAAGAGACGGGAGAUAGUUGUUACAAAUGAGCAGUAUGUUUUAAAGAUGCCUAAACUACCACCAAUAUAGAGAUAUGGUGAAGUAUUGACAUUUCGCUUCUAACUGAUAACCCAGCAUAGAGCAUACAACUGUUACUCUAUGAGAAGAUUUUGCAGAAAAUGACGGUGCUUUUCUAGAAAAGAUGAAAGAUGAUAAACCUAUAAUUGACUUAUGUGACGUUAGAAUCUCAAUCUUUAAAAGUAUUGGACAGACUACUUUAUGUUUUUAUAAUAAACUAAGUAUAGUUGUUAUUUCAAAUUUGAAACAAGCUCUUGUCACACUAGGCACUUUUGAAAUAUCUAUUAUUUCCAUGAGUAGCGUCUUGAUCAAUCCACAGUUUCAAAAAUCCACGGACCUGGUACAUUACAUUAAUCACACAUAUGUUCUGCAAUGUUAUUUAAAACUGAUUGUCACAACUAAUGUACAUACUAUACUUUUGCAUUGUAGGAUUAUUACAUACUGAAAUUCCUAAGUUCCCAAAACCUUUGCACCGAGCACAUCUCACUCAAAAUGGGUGAUACAGUUAACUAAUUUUAUCGAAAAUACAGGCAUGAAAUGGUAAAGGCCGAAAAUAAAGAUUUUAUGGUAACACCAAGUAGGAAAAUGAGAAGAGCCAUAGAAGUUCCGUUGGUAUAUAUUAUGGAUUGAUUUCUAGCUGAUUCACAACUGCAUACUAUCCUAUAUUUCUACUCUCUAAAAAUAAUAACUAUUUUAAUAUCCAAAAUAUCAUCACAAAUAUGGUAUAUUGGCGAUGCGCAGGAUUGUUUGUAUAAGUUCAAAGCAAUAAUUGUAGACAUACUCAAUAAAUAUGAGCUGUGGUAUUCGUCUUGCAAAAAGUGCAGCAAAAAAGUGAAAGUUAUCAAACAUAUUAUAUCUUGUAACAAUCGCGACAGUGAGAAUGUAGAAUAUGAAAUGAGGUUAGAUUUGGUAAAAACUUGAUUCUACAUUUACUAAUUAGAAAACAAAUUAAAUUUAAAUUUUAAAUGACUCCCCUUAUUAAACAGAUACUGCUUACGACUUGAAGUGUGUGGUGGAGAACAACAAACAACGUGCCCGAGCUAUACUAUUUGAAGCGGCUAAAUAUUUACUAGGUUGUAGCGUGCAAGACUACAUAGAAUCGAUCUCAGUAAAGAUAUGAAUUGUAUAUAUACCUAAACACCUUAACGCCCAAUGAACUCUGCCGCAUAGGUACGUUGUCUAAUUCAUCCUAACUUUUACAGUUAUCUUAUUGUGAUACUUCAUAGCACAAAAGAGAAGAAAAGAAUUACCUAAUUACAUAUACAUAACAAUUGAUGAUUCUGUUAAUUUUAUACAUUAGGUUAGUUUUAAAAUAAAAUGCGCCCAUCAUGCUGCUGAGAAAACUGGACCCCUCAAAUGGAUUAUGCAAUGGGACAUGGUUAAUUUGUAAAGGCUCUGACGAGAAUGUCAUACAUGCAGAAGAAACAACAGGUCAAUAUGCCACAAACCAGGUACUUACUCCAACAAUACAACUAUCACCCCCCCCCCUCCCCUGCGAAAAUGAAGGAUACCCUUUCAAAUUUAUUCGGAAUAAUUUCCAAUACGUCUAUGUUUUUGCAAUGAUGAUAAAUAAAACUAAAGGACAAACGAUGUCAAAUGUAGGAGUAUACCUACCACAACAUGCUUUCUCUAUGGUAAACUAUAUGUUUCACUAUAUAGAGGAAUAUCUAUGCCAACAAAAAAAGUGCAGGUCAUAAUUGAACAACUAGAUUGAUGCACCGGGACAUAUACAAGAAAUACGGUCUACAAGAAAGUAUUAGGUGAGAUUUGAUAAAUACCAAAACUGUAAGAAAUCAAACAGGAAAAAACAAAAGGGAACAUACAGUUUCUAAUGAAAAUUUUAUUGGACGAAUUCUUAGGUUUUGUGGAAGAGGAGAUGAUAUGAAAAAUACCAGACAGCUACCAUAGAAGACAUUAGUUUUGUGUAUAUAAAGUUAUUCACAUACAGGGUACACUGAAUUUCAAAUAAUAAAAGGGAACAUACAGUUCAUGACACUACAUAACUAAGGGGAGCUUACAGUUCAUGACACGACAUAACUAAGAGGAUAAACUGUUAAUUCGUGCACAAUUACUUACUAACAAAUUGCCUAAUAACAAUUUAAGAAUACAACGUUCGUCACUGCAUGCCCAACAAGCAAGAAGGAAAAUAGAUUGGUCAUUCAGUUAGUAUGACGUAGUGCAAUAUUAAAUACAUAUUGAUAUGUUGAAAGCCUAAAAUACACAUAAAAAGAUAAAAUAUCUCGUGUAUAGGGAUCUCAAGACUUAACCUACACGUGCAACGCAUGUGCAGUGAAUAUAGUCUAGUUACCUUAAAAGCAUGAACUCCUAACUUGAAUGUUAAAUUACUAUAAUAUCCCUAACUUAGGUUGUGUCUUUUUCGAUGAGUAGUGACUUUUCCGAUAAGUUGUGACUUUUUUCAAAGGGUUGUGAUUUUUCGAUGAGUUGUGACUUUUCCAAAGAGUUGUGACUUUUUCAAAGGGUAGUGACUUCUCUGAAAGGUCAUGCCUUUUCAGAUAAGACACAAAAAACACUUGUUCAUACUACCCUUUGUUGACUAUAAAUAGAGGGGCUUCCUCUCAUUUUCAACAAUAAUUUUUUAAUCUUCUACUCUUCUUCUUCUUGUAUUUUAUAAAAAUUUCGUGUGAUUUAUUGACGUUGAGUGAGUCCAAAGUUUAGCGGAAUAUGAGGUACCACUAUUCUGAUGAAGUAAAUUGUUCUAUCCUAAGAAGGUAUAUUCCAUAAUCUCGAAUACUUGAGGAAAUAAUUUUUAUGAUAUAAUAAUUAUAUUUUACUUAACAUAUAUAUUAGUAUGUAAUGUUCCAAUAUAUGAAGUUAUCAUGAUGCAAUCUAAAUUCAUUUGUUUUUGUUAACUAUUUCUCUUGUGAUGUAGAUAUAUGUUUCUGAAUAACUUUUUCAAAAAUUAUUAGACUUCUCAAGAGUUAGAUAAUUGUCACGGUUUAUUUUUUUGAUGCUCAAGAAAAAAAAAAUGACUUUAUUUAUCAAUGCUACCUAUAUGAUUUGGAUUGUCAGGAAGUUUGUUUCAAAAAAGUUAUUACUAUAUAAACAUUGCCCUUUUGCUUUACAUAUUUACUAUUUCUUAAAUUUCAGUAUUUUAGACGAAGAAAAGUCCAUAUGACUUGUAAUAAUGUCAGUUGAAGUUUGUAUUAGUUUAAGUUUUAUUAUUUAUUUAAUAACUAAUUUUUAUGAGAUAAAUAUUUUCAUUAAUGCAAAUAUAUAUAUAUAUAUAUAUAUAUAUGUGUCACGAAUUAUAUGUGUCACAAAUGUAUUAUCAAGCUAACACGAUCUUCUAACUUCAAAAUAUAUUAUUUUAUAAUGUUCUGAAUUGUUUUUUUAAUUAAAAAAACUCACAACAAAUUUGAAAAUAUGUGGAUAUAUAUGAAUCAUUUGAAAUUUAUCAUUUACAAAAUAAAUUUUAUAUUCAGUAAUAUGGAAUAACCAUUUUCAUGUUGUCCUUACACUAAAUUAAAAUCUAAUAACUAUAAAAAUUGGGAACAUUAAUUAAAAGUCCCAAACGAAAAAUAAUCAAUACAAUUUUAAGGAAACGACAAAAUAGCGAGAAAAAUAGUUAUAGAUUUUAAUUUAGUGUAAGGACAAGAUGAAAAUGUUUAUUCCAUAUUAUCGAAUACAAAAUUUAUUAUAUAUAUAUAUUUGCAUUAAUGAAAAUAUUUAUCUCAUAAAAAUUAGUUAUUAAAUAAAUAAUAAAACUUAAACUAAUACAAACUUCAACUGACAUUAUUACAAGUCAUAUGGACUUUUCUUCGUCUAAAAUACUGAAAUUUAAGAAAUAGUAAAUAUGUAAAGCAAAAGGGCAAUGUUUAUAUAGUAAUAACUUUUUUGAAACAAACUUCCUGACAAUCCAAAUCAUAUAGGUAGCAUUGAUAAAUAAAGUCAUUUUUUUUUUCUUGAGCAUCAAAAAAAUAAACCGUGACAAUUAUCUAACUCUUGAGAAGUCUAAUAAUUUUUGAAAAAGUUAUUCAGAAACAUAUAUCUACAUCACAAGAGAAAUAGUUAACAAAAACAAAUGAAUUUAGAUUGCAUCAUGAUAACUUCAUAUAUUGGAACAUUACAUACUAAUAUAUAUGUUAAGUAAAAAUAUAAUUAUUAUAUCAUAAAAAUUAUUUUCCUCAAGUAUUCGAGAUUAUGGAAUAUACCUUCUUAGGAUAGAACAAUUUACUUCAUCAGAAUAGUGGUACCUCAUAUUCCGCUAAACUUUGGACUCACUCAACGUCAAUAAAUCACACGAAAUUUUUAUAAAAUACAAGAAGAAGAAGAGUAGAAGAUUAAAAAAUUAUUGUUGAAAAUGAGAGGAAGCCCCUCUAUUUAUAGUCAACAAAAGGUAGUAUGAACAAGUGUUUUUUGUGUCUUAUCUGAAAAGGCAUGACCUUUCAGAGAAGUCACUACCCUUUGAAAAAGUCACAACUCUUUGGAAAAGUCACAACUCAUCGAAAAAUCACAACCCUUUGAAAAAAGUCACAACUUAUCGGAAAAGUCACUACUCAUCGAAAAAGACACAACCUAAGUUAGGGAUAUUAUAGUAAUUUAACAUUCAAGUUAGGAGUUCAUGCUUUUAAGGUAACUAGACUAUAUUCACUGCACAUGCGUUGCACGUGUAGGUUAAGUCUUGAGAUCCCUAUACACGAGAUAUUUUAUCUUUUUAUGUGUAUUUUAGGCUUUCAACAUAUCAAUAUGUAUUUAAUAUUGCACUACGUCAUACUAACUGAAUGACCAAUCUAUUUUCCUUCUUGCUUGUUGGGCAUGCAGUGACGAACGUUGUAUUCUUAAAUUGUUAUUAGGCAAUUUGUUAGUAAGUAAUUGUGCACGAAUUAACAGUUUGUCCUCUUAGUUAUGUAGUGUCAUGAACUGUAUGUUCCCUUUUAUUAUUUGAAAUUCAGUGUACCCUGUAUGUGAAUAACUUUAUAUACACAAAACUAAUGUCUUCUAUGGUAGCUGUCUGGUAUUUUUCAUAUCAUCUCCUCUUCCACAAAACCUAAGAAUUCGUCCAAUAAAAUUUUCAUUAGAAACUGUAUGUUCCCUUUUGUUUUUUCCUGUUUGAUUUCUUACAGUUUUGGUAUUUAUCAAAUCUCACCUAAUACUUUCUUGUAGACCGUAUUUCUUGUAUAUGUCCCGGUGCAUCAAUCUAGUUGUUCAAUUAUGACCUGCACUUUUUUUGUUGGCAUAGAUAUUCCUCUAUAUAGUGAAACAUAUAGUUUACCAUAGAGAAAGCAUGUUGUGGUAGGUAUACUCCUACAUUUGACAUCGUUUGUCCUUCAGUUUUAUUUAUCAUCAUUGCAAAAACAUAGACGUAUUGGAAAUUAUUCCGAAUAAAUUUGAAAGGGUAUCCUUCAUUUUCGCAGGGGAGGGGGGGGGGUGAUAGUUGUAUUGUUGGAGUAAGUACCUGGUUUGUGGCAUAUUGACCUGUUGUUUCUUCUGCAUGUAUGGCAUUCUCGUCAGAGCCUCUACAAAUUAACCAUGUCCCAUUGCAUAAUCCAUUUGAGGGGUCCAGUUUUCUCAGCAGCAUGAUGGGCGCAUUUUAUUUUAAAACUAACCUAAUGUAUAAAAUUAACAGAAUCAUCAAUUGUUAUGUAUAUGUAAUUAGGUAAUUCUUUUCUUCUCUUUUGUGCUAUGAAGUAUCACAAUAAGAUAACUGUAAAAGUUAAAUAACAAACAUUAAUUGGGUAUUCAAGCAAGUUUUCUCUACUGAAAUUAUUGAAGGCACAAUAAAAAAAGCCCUUACAAAUCUCUAAUUUCUUCAUCAACAAUGUCAUUCCUUCACAUACAAGGAUGAGAUUUUGUGUUCUUUAGAAAAUCCUUUGAGAGUUAAUAACUUUGCAUGCCCAUAUUUUUUGGUUUUUAUGUUGUUGUUAUCUAUUUUUACUAAAUUUUAUCAGUGGAUAUUAUGAGUACUUUAAAGAUUGAAAGUAGAUUGAAGUGUUAGUCAAUUUUUUGAGGUAUGUUAUUUCAAAACAUCAGAACUUUUCUGGUUAAAUGAUUCGUUAUCAUCAUUGGAUAUCUCAUAGUUUACUCCCUUUAAUGUAUUUCAAAAUGAUUGAAGGGCCGCCACAUGAUUAUGAUAUUCGUAGUUGGACUGCAGAUCUAAUGAUUCUUGAUGAUUCCAUUGUUAUUUUGAACGAAGUUGACAUGUUUGUUUAUGUUGUAUGGGUAAUGAUCCAACCAAGGGUUUGGAACAAAUUAGCUACCUUUCAUUGCUUUUUAUGUAAGUCUUGUUGUGAUAGCUCUCUAAUUUGGGCAAGUGGAUGUUUCGGAUUGAUCUCCUAUAAUGUUAAGACAAAGAAGAUGAAGAAUCUUGAAUUUCAUCAUCAACGCCUAGGUAGAAGUCCAACUUGGAGUGGUUUUGGGGUUUACUAUUAUAAAGAGAGUUUAGUAACAAUUAAACGGCAAGAGAAUGGAUAGCUCGACCACAUGAGGGCUUCUUAAUGACAAAAUUGGCAAUCAAAUAUUAAAUUUCUAUAUGAGACCUUGAACUUAUUCAAUAAGAUCUUCAUGUAUUUUUAUUUACAGUUUAUUCAUCUGCUUUUCUAGUCAAGACAAAUUACUUAGGAUUUUGAUCUUGGGGUCAUGUUUCAAUAUAAGGUUCAUUACUUACUUUCAUUGUUGUUGUACAAGAUAGUUGAGCUUGGGAGUUUUUAUCAAUACAUUAAGAUCAUUCUAUGUUUGAGGUUCAUUUCUAACUUUGUUAUUACUUCAUAAUUCAUUUUCUAUAUUUUCCAAUUGUAAAUUUUGGGUGAAUUGAAGUUCUUUUUAUGACGAGCAAACUAAUGACUUUAAAUUAAGUAUUCUAUUUAUGUACUUUCAUAGAGGACGCAAUUGAGCAGAGUGUACCACCUUUGUCAUAGUCAGUGGUCUAUUUAUAGUUGUGAUUGUUGUCAUAGUCAAUAAGGUCGAAAUUCAAGUCAUGUGAUUGAUAACUUUCCUGCACGAUCUCAAGAGCACUGAAUUAGAAUAAGAGGUUUACCAUCAUAUUUGUUUGGGAUAAGGGUCUGAAAAAUACCCAACUUUGGUCGAAUUUGCUGUUGCGAUACUAAACUUUCAUGAGGACCUAUUACCUCCCUAAACUAUUUAAUACCGUAUUUUUUACCCCCUGAACUAUUUAAUAAUGUAUUUUAAAGGUAUAUAUGUGCUCACGUGGACACAUUACUAUAUUUAUAAUUUUGCAUUAUUUUUUAUGUCCACGUGGGCAAAUAUAUAUGUUUAAAAUACGAUAUUAAAUAGUCUAGGGAGGUAAUAGGUCCUCAUGAAAGUUUAGUAUCGCAACAGCAAAUCCGACCAAAGUUGAGGUAUUUUUCAGACCCUUAUCCCUAUUUGUUUCAUUUUAAAAAAUAUAUAAUUUAAAUGAAACAAACGUGUUUUACGUGACAAAUUCUUGAAUGCUUAAUAUUUUUCCUUCAAUCAAAAAAAUAAAAACCCAAAUUCUUUCUUCAAGGAUCGAUGAAAAAAGAUCAAUUUGGAAUUCACUAAAAUUCAAUUCAUGUAACGACCCUAUUUAAUUAAAUUAAAAUUAUAAGUUUACUUGAAAAAAAUAUUCUUAAGUUUUCCAUUGUUGUUCAUAAGCCAUAAGGCCUAUGUCAUUGCAACUCAUUAUGAUCAUCAAUAUUUUUUGCUUAUUUUUUUAAAAUCUUAAUAUUGUUUAAUAAAAAAGCGACUUUCUAAAAUAAUAACUAUACCUCGAAUGAUAUAUGAGAUAUUAACUGAAAUAUUGCAUCAUUAUCGCACACCAGUGUUUUCAAAAAUAGUUUUUGGGGCGAGUCUCGGGGGGUACAAAAAACGCUUCGGGGCACAAAUUGAAGAUGUAGAACCAUAGGUCGUUAGUCCUAGAAUUUAGGGCGGAACCCUGGUCGGAAAAACGUACGCAUGUGCGUUUUUUUUAUUUUGCUUUAAAUCAUAUUUUUUAUUAUUGGUGUAAUGAUAUUUCUCAAAUAGUAGUUGUAAUACUUUUUUUCUUCAUUAUUGGUUAUUAAUAUCUUUCUCAAAUAAAAAUCAUAAUAUUUUUUUUCUAUAUAUUAUAGGUUGUUUAUUAAAAUUUAUAUGUAAAAUAAUUGAAAGUUUUACUUUUGCUUAUGUACUUAGUGAUAAAAUUAUAAAAUUGAAUAUACAUGAGACUACGCCCCGUAGAUCCAUAAGACUUACGCCUCGUGUCUCGGGACUUACGUCUCACCCCGUACUAUAUAAAAUGUCUCGCCUCACAUCCCUGCCUUUUAAAACAUUGUCGCACACUUUUCUAAUUCAUGUGGUUGGCAAAAUUAUAAAAAAAAAAUAGUUUGAUACAUAGUAAUUUACUUUAUUAAGAAGAGAUAAUCUUCUAUAACCAUUUAAAAAUUAAUCAGAAGGAAAUUAUCUUUCAGAUACUUAUCCACUAUUUUCAAAUCUCUUACCUAUAAAAAUUGCAAAUAAAUCUAUAAAAUCAAUUAAACGUGUUCAAAUUGAAUUUAAGUUUUAUCUCAUGCACAACUUUAAUCCUCCCAUAAAUUUCAUGUUUGGAGUUCAAAAUAUAAAAUAUAGAUAUUUGCAAACAAAAACUUAAAAUAAAAAGAAUAUACUCUCAAACAUAAAGUAAUUAUAAUAAUAUGAAGCUUUUCAAAGAAAAAUAAACUUUUUUUCUUGAAAAAAACUUCGAACUUCUAAUAAACGUGAAAGGAAAAACUGGAAAGGAAAAUAAAAUUUAAAAACUAAUACAAAAUUAUGCAGUUUGAAUAAUUUAAUUUAAAAAUUACCUUAGCUAAGUUAUAAACCCAAAUAAACUGAAUUUGAAUUUUCUUCUCUAUCCACAAGAGAAACACACAAUAUUCAUCUAUAUAUAAUUGGAGUUGUAAUUUUUUAAGCUUUUAUUUUAUUUAAACCUGUAAUCCGCCCAGCUCCACCUUGCAUCAGCUUUUUAAAAUUUUAUUUCAACUUGCUCCCACUCGCCCCACCCGCAUAACCUUAAAAUAAUAAUUUUAGCAGUUUGUGAUGAUUGCAUUAUGUUUUGUUUUUGGUUAAGAUAUCAAGAAAAUGGUAUUGUGGACUUUAUUCAGCUUGAGCAUUUAUGCCACAUGAUAAAUAGUGAAAUUCCGAGUCAAAUUUCAUAUGACCAAAACAGAUCACUUUGAGCGACUUGUCCAAAUUAAUAACGAUUGUUUAUUUAUUUUAGUAAGUCAUUAAGCUUUGAGUGAUGCACUAUCAAUUAUUUAUUUAAAUAAUUCGUUGUGAGGUAAAUGAGUAUACAUUUAAUAUUUUAAAUUAUGUAAAAUACUAACGUGUCGUGAUCAAUUUGUACUCUUGUAACACUUUUAUAACCGCUAAUCAUUGAAACUUGUGAUAUUGUUACUUCUUUUUUGUGUCUUUUGAUGUGAUAUUUCUUUUAUUUUAAUUUAUAGAUAUUAAAAAGUUAUGUUAAAAGUGUUAUUUUCUAAUUUUGAAAAAUAACUGUUUAAUUUUCUUUAUUUAUACUCUUAGUAAAAAAAAAAGUAUAAUCACACAACAUGUUAAAAUCAUAAAUUUCAAAAUUCUUUUAUUUGUGCAAAUAUUAAAGUACUCUGAUUUUAGAAGUUCAUUUGAUGAAAUAAACUCGAUAUCACAACUUAAAUAAUUGAUUAGUGGACGAAAAUUCAAGGAAUGAGAUGAUCUGAAACUCAACUAACAUCAAUAAAUGAGGGGGGGAAGUGUAAAAAAAAAAUGAAUUUGAAUGAAGAGAAAAAUUGUGGAAGAUGUGAUGAUGACGGAGAGGGGAUCCUUGAAAUGGAUGGAUUUAAUAUACACUAGUUGUAAAACUUAGAACGAGUUGUUUAAGAAAAAAAAAACGGAUAAUGGUAAGUCGCUCAAAGUUCAAUGACUUACUUAAAAAAAUAAAAUUAAAGUUGGAUAAAUGGACGUUUGGGCAGCUAAUGUUAAUUUGGACAAGUCGCUCAAAGCCUUGCAACUUGUUCGAUUUACUCAUUUUAGAUUAUAUUUUUAAAAAAAAAAAAGUAGGUUUAGCUCGAAUUUAUAAGUUGUCACUCCAUAAGAUGUGGUUCUAUGCACUUUACAAGGCUAUUGAGACAUACAACAACACACCAAUGCACCAUAACUAACUUUCUUUCAGCGAAAUGAUAUAUUUUGCGUAUGUUCAUAUGAUGUUGAACUUAGUGGCUUACUUGUAUCUCAUUUUUAUGCCUAUUGCAAGUUUAUUUAUACUAUUAUGCACUACUAUUUUAAAUAAUAGUCACAAGUUACUAUUAUAUGUAGAUAGUAUUGAGAUUGAUCCAACAGUGAACCGUUGAAGUGCACGUUCCAGUUUAACCAGAUCGCUAGAAGCACCAUUAGGCCAAGUUUUAUUUUACGUGGGCCAAAGACUAUCCCCUUUGCUUUUCCGACUCUGCGAGUUGUGUUUCGUAGCAAUUGUAGAUAGACUCAUAGAUUGCACCAUCACUUAUAUUUGAGAUACUGGGGUUUCACUUAUGUAUUACCUUUCUACAUUUAAUAUUUAAUAGCAUGUUUUCCGCAAACUAUUACUCCCUCUGUCCCAAUUUAUAUGACUUACUUUCCUUUUUAGUCAGUUCUAAAAAGAAUUGACACAUUUCUACAUUUAGUAAGAAAUUUAACUUUAAAAUACCCAAUUUACCCUUAAUAAAAUAAUUUACAGCUACACAAACAUCUGUGACUUAUUUUAGAUCACAAGUUUUGAGUCAAACUAAGUCAUAUAAAUUGAAAUGGAGGAAGUAGCACUCAAUCUAGCCAGUUGGCCAAGUUCUUUGGGUGCCAAUCACAGUAUAAGUGCCAGAUUUAGGUGGUGAACUUCAUUAACACCACCAUUUCUCCACUAUAAUCAUCAGAUAUAACCUUGUAAAAACCAUUAACAAGGACAAAUUUCACACUCAAUGGCUCCAUAUUGCAUUAUUCUAUGGAUAAGCAAAUGGUACCAUGGAAAAAAUAUGUCGAUGAAGGCAUUAGAACUACAACGAAACAGGGAGCUGAAACGGGAGAGAGAGAGAGAGCGCAUUGAUGUUUAAAUGGGGAAAGACAAGGUUGGUAGAGCGAAGCGACUCUUUAAAGAGUGCAAACUAGAUAAUAAACACAGAAUUAUGCUAUGAACUGUUUUGUAGUUGAUAUGACUCAAUAAUUAACAGCUAAUCACAACAUUAAUACUCUAUGAGAAAAGCUUAGUGCUUAAACGAACCAUGUCAUACUGAGAUUAAAAAUGGCACUACCUUGGCCUUGACAAACAUGGAAUUAAAAUAACAAGACUUACAUUUUCCAGAUUUUAAUUUUAUCAAACAUCCCUUUGCUCCUACAAGCGUUAAUGUAAAACAUCAAGCUUUGAUAUUUUUGAUAGUCUUAGAGAGGAGUGGCCCCACCUUUCUCAUCAGUAGAACCCUCUAAUCAUACAACUACUCAUUAAUCAUUACUUACAUCAAUAUUUAUGCCAUAUUACUAACUAAAAAUGUUAAAUUACAUACGACAAGAGUGCAAAUUACAGGUAACAAAAGCAAAAUAAGGGAGGACAAAUACCUAUGAUGUAUAGCAAGGUACUUAAUACUUAUAAUCCAAAUCCUUUUCUGCUUACAUUGCAUGUUCCACGGAGAACUGGAGAAGGAAGUGCCUCGAAAGCCCCACCAUUUGGUUAUCAAAAUUAUACUGCAGCCCCCUGUCGUGCAAUAAAAGGAUACAAGACAUUUGGUCCCCUCCCAGAUGUAAUGAUUUGUGUUCUUGCAGGGUUUACUACAUACACAUUCAUAUAUCCAGUUGCUCAAGGUUGAUCAUGCUCGCUGAAUGUUGUAUAAGUUGCUUCCUAACAUCCACCUGUAAUUGGCAUAAUGGAGAUGAGCAAUAAAAUCAAGUCAUUAGCAAAAGAGUGGAAAGAGAUGGACAGCCACCAGUCCACCAUAGUUAUAAAAAGAAAUGCAUCAAGUCUGUCUCAACAAGUAGAUGUCCCUAAUAAAGUCUAGGCACUAACACUACAUUCAGAAUAGAAAGACAUACCUUGGAACCCAUUAGUGAAGAGAAGACGACAUUUGCUUCAGCUGCAUCCUCCACUACUAAUUGCUUUAACAGCCUAGUCUCUGGGUUCAUUGUUGUUUCCCAUAACUGCGCUGGCAUCAUCUCUCCCAAUC